CCGAGUUUACAACUCCCAAUCCCAUGUGAACAUACCUAUCGUUGCUCCGGCGGAUCGCCCCGGGCGCCUUGCGUGCCCCGGAUCCAGGCGGCCGCCGGGGGACCUUAACUCUUGUUUCUACUGAGAAUCUUCUGAGUCGUUUUUACAAAUAAAUAA
This 156-nucleotide unclassified non-coding RNA is filed under the name soil metagenome. RNAcentral's name for it is "partial internal transcribed spacer 1". The record is from RNAcentral.